AGAAUCAACGCUGGCGGCGUGCCUAACACAUGCAAGUCGAACGAGAAAGGGAUUUCGGUCCUGAGUAAAGUGGCGCACGGGUGAGUAACACGUGACUAACCUACCCUUGAGUGGGGAAUAACUUCGAGAAAUCGAGGCUAAUUCCGCAUAAUACCUACGGGUCAAAGGAGCAAUUCGCUUAAGGAGGGGGUCGCGGCAGAUUAGCUAGUUGGCGGGGUAAUGGCCCACCAAGGCAGUGAUCUGUA
Molecule: ribosomal RNA, 245 nt
Filed under: uncultured bacterium
Lineage: Bacteria
Description: partial small subunit ribosomal RNA
Rfam family: Bacterial small subunit ribosomal RNA
Source: RNAcentral